GGUCCCUAUCCGGCGUGGGCGUAGGAUAUUUGAGAGGAGCUGUCCUUAGUACGAGAGGACCGGGAUGGACUGGCCGCUGGUGUAUCUGUUGUUCUACCAAGAGCAUAGCAGAGUAGCCAAGCCAGGACGGGAUAAACGCUGAAGGCAUCUAAGCGUGAAGCCCCCCUCAAGAUGAGAUAUCCCUAACGUAAGUUAGUAAGACCCCUUGAAGACGACGAGGUAGAUAGGAUAGAGGUGGAAGCAUGGUAACAUGUGGAGCUGACUAUUACUAAUCGGUCGAGGGUAUGACCAU
RNAcentral lists this ribosomal RNA (292 nucleotides) under Candidatus Dorea intestinavium. Its description in RNAcentral is "partial 23S ribosomal RNA". It matches the Rfam family "Bacterial large subunit ribosomal RNA", at positions 2633 to 2925 of the family's 2925-position model. The record is from RNAcentral. Lineage: Bacteria; Bacillati; Bacillota; Clostridia; Lachnospirales; Lachnospiraceae.